AAUUAAGACAAAGAACCAUCCUGGUAUGUAAAACGAGGUAGCCACAACAGAAUGUUCUUAUAGUACACACAUCUUACAUACAUAGCUCCAGCAGAAAUAACCAGUAUGGUAGAUUGGCGGUAUACGGAAACAGUAUGUCUCAAAUCAAACAUGAAUACUUCAAAAUCACAAUAUUGAAAAUUUUGAAUCAUGAAAGGACAAACUACGAAGUCUUAACAUGAUAAUAAUAUCUCAUUAUUACAACAUUUGACAUUAUCAUGUUUAUAUUCUCAGAGGAUCCAUUCCAAUAUUUGAUACACGGAAUGAAUUGAAUGUUGGUACAAGGACGAGAAACCAUGUGAAAGAGAGGUCUGGGGACAAAUAACUAAAAUUAAGUAAUAAAAACACCACAGGCAAUGUUUACCGCCUAAAUGCAUUGCCUUCACUCCAAAUCUUCCUUGAGAAUAAUGAGUCCGCCGUUGGAUACUCUUGGCUAUAGAUGCGCUCCCCCUUCUGCAGCACCAUAUAUACUUUUUUGAGCAGUAUCCAAGAAAUUCUUGCCUACAGAACUAGUGUUCUGGAUUGCUUCCUGUGCAUCAGUCUCCUCAGCCUUCUUUAUUCGUUUCCAUCUCUCCCCUUCAUGUAACUUAGCAGCGAGUUGCAUCUGCCUAAGUUUAGCAGCCCUCUCUUCNNNNNNNNNNNNNNNNNNNNNNNNNNNNNNUAGGAGUCACAUUUCUCCGCUUAUAGUGUGACUCACGUUCAAGUGAAUUAGCAGAAGAUCUAGUAGAACUUGGUUCUCGAAAGCUCCUAUUCCCCCUUUUAGAGACAUCCAAAUUGAACUGACCUUCUGGAGCAUAUCUUCCUGACUUCGACUUGUUAUCAUGUCUGUCAUCAGCGUCUUUAUAGUCUCUGACUUUGCUUUGACUCUGGUGGUGACUGGGUGAUCUUUCUCUGUAUUUCUUAUCUUCAUAGUGAUUCUUCCUUCUGUUAUCAACAUCUUCUUUAUAAUCUUUGACUUUGCUUUGACUUCUGAUAUGGUUUUUUGUGUUUUUGUAUUGGGGAAUUUGGUGAGAUAUAAUUUUAGGGAGAAGACUCUCCUCAAAUAUAGGGUUAUAUGAAGAAUACUAAAGUUCUUAUUAUAUUCAUUAUGCUUAUGGCUCUAUAUAUAUAUAGCUACAUAAAAACAAAUCAUAUAUUUUUAAAACAAAACUAAUCCUAUAAUAAAUUCUAAACAAAUCUUAAAUAUUCUAAAUAGAAAUAUAAAUCAUAAAACCUAAUAUUAUCAUNNNNNNNNNNNNNNNNNNNNNNNNNNNNNNNNAUUUUAAAUAUAAAUCUAAAUAAUAUUUAAAUCUAAGAUCUUCAGAAGAUAUUUAGGCAUAUUAUUCUCAACACUCCUCCUUGACUGAAUAUCUUUUGUACGUAUCCAAUCUGAGUUUCUUGAAAAAUUAUUCUUCUUGUUUUGAUUCUUCUUCUUAUCGCAAGCUUUAGCAUCUUUGUGCCUUGUGGACUUCAUGGUAGAAACAUUGCAUUUGUUAUGACUUUUAGGUGAUUUUUCACAAGCAUAUUUAUUCUCCUCCUUAACUUGAAAUUUCUUCAAAAUACCUGAAUCUUCGCGAUUUUCUUUGAAUUUAAGUUCUUUUUUCUCUUCAAUAAUAUGAUCAUUCUUCAUUAAAUCUAAAACAAAUCUUUUGCCUUUAAUUUGAGAUGUGAUCACUUCCUUAUUG
RNAcentral lists this long non-coding RNA (1703 nucleotides) under Trifolium pratense (red clover). RNAcentral's name for it is "long non-coding RNA (TPRA_LNC005767)". Lineage: Eukaryota; Viridiplantae; Streptophyta; Magnoliopsida; Fabales; Fabaceae. The record is from RNAcentral.